UACGUAGGCGGAAAAUUAAGUCAGUAGUGAAAUCCUGCAGCUUAACUGUAGAACUGUUAUUGAUACUGGUUUUCUUGAAUAUAGUUGAGGUAGGCGGAAUGUGUAAUGUAGCGGUGAAAUGCUUAGAUAUUACACAGAACACCGAUUGCGAAGGCAGCUUACUAAGCUAUGAUUGACGCUGAGGUACGAAAGCGUGGGGAGCAAACAGGAUUAGAUACCCUGGUAGUCCC
This 230-nucleotide ribosomal RNA is filed under the name uncultured bacterium. Its description in RNAcentral is "partial 16S ribosomal RNA". It matches the Rfam family "Bacterial small subunit ribosomal RNA", at positions 568 to 797 of the family's 1533-position model. The record is from RNAcentral.